UGAAAUAGUUUUAUAAUCAACAUAACUUAUCUAAAAAUUUCACCAUUAUAUAGAAGAAGAAAAAAUUAAGUGCAGAUAUUACAUGUAACUCAAAACGAAUUUUAUUUUCUAUAUUUUUAUGUUCUUGUUUUUGAAAUAAAACCUAUAAAAAUUAUUUAACUGGCUUUUUACAUACAUAUUACUAUUAUAUCCUUAAUAUUAUUUUAUCUCUGUAAAUGUAAGUUUCUGUAUCCGCGAAGCAGUUGUUAAGUAUUCUAAAUGGAGCUCAAACUAAACAAGAAGCGCUUAAGGAUUUUCCAAAUUUUAGCAAGAAAAAAAACAUU
This 323-nucleotide long non-coding RNA is filed under the name Brassica napus (rape). RNAcentral describes it as "long non-coding RNA (BNAP_LNC009950)". Lineage: Eukaryota; Viridiplantae; Streptophyta; Magnoliopsida; Brassicales; Brassicaceae. The record is from RNAcentral.